GAUGAACGCGUGGCGGCGUGCCUCAAACAUGCAAGUCGAGCGGGGCUAUGUAAUAUCGCAAGGUAGAACAUAGCCUAGCGGCGAACAGGUGAGUAACACGUGGGUAACCUGCCUGGAAGACAGGGAUAACGAUUCGAAAGGGUCGCUAAUACCUGAUAAUAUCCUUUCAUCGCAUGGUGAUAGGAAGAAAGGGGAAACCCGCUUUCAGAUGGGCCCGCGUCCCAUCAGCUAGUUGGUAAGGUAAAGGCUUACCAAGGCGACGACGGGUAGCCGGUCUGAGAGGAUGUACGGCCACACUGGGACUGAGAUACGGCCCAGACUCCUACGGGAGGCAGCAGUUGGGAAUCUUAGGCAAUGGACGAAAGUCUGACCUAGCGACGCCGCGUGAGGGAAGAAGGCCUUCGGGUUGUAAACCUCUGUCAUGGGGGAAGAAGUAAGUGACGGUACCCCAAGAGGAAGCCCCUGCUAACUACGUG
RNAcentral lists this ribosomal RNA (476 nucleotides) under uncultured bacterium. RNAcentral's name for it is "bacterial SSU rRNA". It matches the Rfam family "Bacterial small subunit ribosomal RNA", at positions 28 to 507 of the family's 1533-position model. The record is from RNAcentral.